This 497-nucleotide ribosomal RNA is filed under the name uncultured bacterium. RNAcentral's name for it is "partial 16S ribosomal RNA". It matches the Rfam family "Bacterial small subunit ribosomal RNA", at positions 28 to 523 of the family's 1533-position model. The record is from RNAcentral.
GAUGAACGCUGGCGGCGUGCUUAACACAUGCAAGUCGAACGAAGCACUCUAUUUGAUUUUCGUCGGAAAUGAAGAUUUUGUGGCUGAGUGGCGGACGGGUGAGUAACGCGUGGGUAACCUGCCUCAUACAGGGGGAUAACAGUCGGAAACGACUGCUAAUACCGCAUAAGCGCACAGUAUUGCAUGAUACAGUGUGAAAAACUCCGGUGGUAUGAGAUGGACCCGCGUCUGAUUAGCUAGUUGGUGGGGCAACGGCCUACCAAGGCGACGAUCAGUAGCCGACCUGAGAGGGUGACCGGCCACAUUGGGACUGAGACACGGCCCAAACUCCUACGGGAGGCAGCAGUGGGGAAUAUUGCACAAUGGGGGAAACCCUGAUGCAGCGACGCCGCGUGAACGAAGAAGUAUUUCGGUAUGUAAAGUUCUAUCAGCAGGGAAGAUAAUGACGGUACCUGACUAAGAAGCACCGGCUAAAUACGUGCCAGCCGCCGCAGUAA